UACGUAGGGGGCAAGCGUUGUCCGGAAUUAUUGGGCGUAAAGCGCGCGCAGGCGGUUCCUUAAGUCUGAUGUGAAAGCCCACGGCUUAACCGUGGAGGGUCAUUGGAAACUGGGGAACUUGAGUACAGAAGAGGAGAGUGGAAUUCCACGUGUAGCGGUGAAAUGCGUAGAUAUGUGGAGGAACACCAGUGGCGAAGGCGACUCUCUGGUCUGUAACUGACGCUGAGGUGCGAAAGCGUGGGGAGCGAACAGG
Molecule: ribosomal RNA, 253 nt
Filed under: uncultured bacterium
Lineage: Bacteria
Description: partial 16S ribosomal RNA
Rfam family: Bacterial small subunit ribosomal RNA
Source: RNAcentral